GCCGGGCGUGGUGGCGCAUGCCUGUAGUCCCAGCUACUUGGGAGGCUGAGGCAGGAGAGUUGCUUGAACCUGGGAGGUGGAGGUUGCAAUGAGCUGAGAUUGCACCAUUGCACUCCAGCCUGGGUGACAGAGCGAGACUCUGUCUCAA
Non-coding RNA from Gorilla gorilla gorilla (western lowland gorilla), 148 nucleotides. It matches the Rfam family "Metazoan signal recognition particle RNA". From Rfam's summary of the family: The signal recognition particle (SRP) is a universally conserved ribonucleoprotein. It is involved in the co-translational targeting of proteins to membranes. Lineage: Eukaryota; Metazoa; Chordata; Mammalia; Primates; Hominidae. The record is from Rfam.